UUCAAUGUAUUCUUUCAACAAGUGAACUUCUUUUGUGUGUGUUGUGGCAAAUGCAAAGUAGAACCAAACUAAUCUUGUUGUUUGUUAAAGCCAAAGGUAUGUUCUUACACAUCUGUGCAUUGUUCACAGUAUGCCCACUCUUUUCCCAGUGUACCCACAGUAUACCCACACUUUGCCCACAGUGUGGGCUUGCUGUGGGCCCACAAAUGGUUAGUUUUGCUCUGCGAUGCGUUACCUCAGUUUUAAUUCAUAAAAUAAACUUACCUGUAUGAGUAGUAUUUAAGCACUUGCAAGUAGGCCUACUUCAGUAGAAUGAAUUGACUCUUUCCUAUAGAGAUUGCUAAUGUGUCGUCAUCAUGACGUAUUCCCGGUGGUGAACGCAAAGCAUUUUGGGAAUCCGCGGCACAAACAUACACAAGGCGCCCGCCAUACUUCUUUGCAUGGAGGGAAGAACGCAGUGUUCAAGAUGCCGUAUACCUGCUGUUUUAUACAGUAAAGUCGCCGCAGCAGGCACAGGUCUUUUUUACAGAUGGAUGCAGGACCUGGAGAUUGUAAAAGUGGGGCAGAAAACUGUCGUCCGUUCAAAUGUAUGCUAAUGUUUUAAGCACCACACUCUUUGCUCUCUCUCAUCUAUCUGCAUGCAGUCAGAAUUCAACAAACCAGCGUGUGUGUGAGAGAUUUUGGUUGGGUGACAGUUGUAGGUUACAGUUUGACAAGUUUACAUUUUGACAAAAGCACAAUGUUGUGUUUUAUUGUGUGUACACAAAUAUAAGUAAACACUUUGCAGUUUGAAAGAUGUCCUGUAUGAACAAAAUGACGGAGUAUGUUUUUAUGUUUCCACUGUUCGAUCGCGCCCGCGCCUCUCUCUCUCUCACACACACACACAUACGCUGGUUUGUUGAAUUCUGACUGCACGCAGAUAGAUGAGAGAGAGCGAGGAGUGUGUGCUAAAAACAUUAGCAUACCUUUGAACGGAAGACAGUUUUCUGCCCCACUUUUACAAUCUCCAGGUUCUGGACCCAUCCAUCUGUAAACCUGGGCCUGUUGCAGCGACUUGAAGUUACUGAAAACUUUGUGUGUAUGCACUAACACUUAAUAUCAUGUAGUUGUGUGUAAAUAUAUAUUUGUGUGUAAAAUUAUAUAUAUAUAUAUAUAUAUAUAUAUAUAUAUAUAUAUAUAUGGUGGCCAUUUCCAUAACACCAAAAAGGAGGACACUUUGCGGCAUUUAGUGAGGCAAGAAUAAUUGCAUAGGACUCUGAUGUACUCGCGACUACAAUGUACUCGUAAUACAAUUUUGUCCAUUAUAUCGAUGGUAUCAUGAUACAGUGAUUCUGAAAAAGAACUCAUUGCCGGACAAUUUGAUGUAGACCUAUGUGUAACAGAAGAGGCAAAAAGUGUUUGUUCACAGUAUUUGUAUUUGUAUUUAUUCAAGACAUUGUGAUGUCUGUUUCACAAUGUGAUGUCCUUUAUUUUCUCGUCAUAUCUCGUCUUUGCAUUAGGAUUUAGUUUUAGGCGGUAUGGUCCGACAAUGUUUUCUUUAGCCCGCUGCAUUUUGUAGGAUUAUAUUCUGUUUAUCACGCUAAUUUUUAAUUAUUUUCAUGCCAGAACACUAGCCUGCAAUGCCAGCCCAUGUAAACUGGCCAAACAUACCCAUAAUUCUUUGCGUUCUGAUGACGUUGCCACCCAGUUGGUCACAUGUCUUAGCGAUCUCUAUUCCUGGAAAUGCAGGCUGGGACUCGCGUGUGGCACUGAAAUCAGUCUCUCGUUGCAAUCGCGCCCGCGAUUCCACGCCGAGAUUGUGCCUUUAGCACAGGUAAAUUAAAUUAAUUUAAUACAUAUGCAGUGUCAUUUUGCAUUAAUCACUUCCUGGAUCUGAAUACUUACCUGAAAUAUGUCAAACACCCUUUAUUUCAUUUACAUCACCCCCCAUACGGUAAAAAAAUAUAUUUUAUCUGGCCAAAAUAUAUUUUAAAUAUAUGGUAAAUAUAUGUUACAAACAGUGAAGUUCAAUGAAAUAUAUUUUUGAAACUGAAAAUAUAUUUUGUUUCAACCUUCAUAUACUUAAAAUAUAUUUAAACAUGUAUUUCAGGGGCAGGAAAAUAUAUUUAUAUAUAAAAAUAUAUUUCAGGGCGCAAGAAAAUACAUUUCCAAUCUUACAGUCGACAAUGCAAAUGUGGGUGGAAGAAAGCCUUGCGAUCAAAACUCUCCAUCAUGUUAGAAGAAUUUUAAACACUUCCAGAAAAAACAUGAAUUUCCCCAUAUUUUCCACAUUGACCACUUUGUUCACAUAUGAUCUGCCCAAAAAAUACAGAGUUAUCAUGGCACCUCACAAAUGUGUGUUUUAGUCUAUUACUUAUUAAUUCAUUUAUUUAUUUGUAAUUUAUUGUCAGUGUAAUAUAGCGUUUAACAAAUACAAAUAAAUAGAUGAAUAAAAUCGCUAGAUGUACGAUGUUAACUGUGACGUAAUUUGAAUGGGAAACCACUAGCAGCGCUCACGGACUUUUGGAGUACAGCGCAUGCGCGUCAUUUUGAUCUGUAACGGUCGUCAGUCAACCGGGAGUUCACGGAGUAAAAGGUAAUGAGCUAUAACUUUAUUUUUAGUCGUCCUUUUUCACAUAUGUAAUGUUAAUUGCUGCUUUGAAUGUAUAAUGUUUUGUAUUGUCAAGGUUUUUUUAACUUUAUUUGUCAAUUUAAUGCCGUUUGUUUCAUUUGCUCACAUGAGGAGUUUGCACUUGAUAUGUUCAGAUUUCCGUUUUAACGUCAUUUGUUUUUAAUUUGGACACUAGUGAAAACUAACGUUACACACAAAAAAAAAGUUUAAUUUUUUUUUUUAAAUUUCAGCUGUAGAGUGGAGACAGUGCUGCCUGCUGUUGUCGAUCGAUGAUGUUCACGUGAUCCUGUCACUGAUAGUGGAGCCUGUAACGUAAUUUUUUUUUUUUUUUUGCUAAAUUUAAAUGUUUUACUAAACUUGUUAAUUAGGCACACGUUAUUCGCUCGUUAUUAGAGUUCAGGCAUAUGUUGGUUUGCCAUUAAUGGCAUUUCAUGCGCUCAAUUUUUCUACUAUUAUUAUUAUCAUUAUUAAUAUAGCCUAGGUUACUAUAAUAUAUUCACUUUCUGCUGAAUGACAAGCUGUUUUCGAUGAUCCAGUUGAGCCAGUGAUUCAAUAAGUCGCUUGUAACAGAAGAUGCUUAUUUGUCACGACCUACAGGUUUACAUGUGUCAUUAAUUAAUUACUGUAAAAAAUCUACUUUUUAUUUUCAGUAGCAGAAGCAGAGACGUUAUUUUCGAAAAUUAUAUUUAAUUUUAAUUUUAAUUUUUAAAAGAAAUUAUAUUAUUUUAUUUGUGUAAUUUAUGAAUUGAUAUGUUCUCUGCACUUGUGUUAAUAUCUGUUUCUGUCUGGAAUAGGUGCGGGUCCAAACCCAUCUGUCAAGACACUUGUCCACUUGCUGUCCGCCCCACCAGCCCAACAAUUGUACUGGAGAGCCUCUGACCACAAGUCAUAGAAAAAGAGAAUGUCAUAAUCAACUGGAACAGCUUGAGGGAGUACAGUGGUAGAGACAGAGAAGAAGUGCCCUUGACGAGGAAACCAUGGCAGCCAUAUAUACGAAAAUCUGGUGCACGUGCAUGAAGCUGAUCACACAGGACAUACGGAGACUUUAACUGCAGAAAGUAACACGUACAGGUAAUUAUAAUUUGUUUUUAUUUAUUUAUUUAUUUUUUUUACAGUAUGUAAAUGACAUAGCCUUAUUACCACGCAGGACAUAAAUAAUGAUGUUUCUGCCUCUAAUGUUACAAGGGAAGUCACUCGACACUAUGCACCAUGCAUACCCAAGUUACAAAGAGUGUCGUUCUUUCUGCUGUUAGGCAACGAGUCCAACUCCGCUUUCAUGCAGAACAAUACGACAUGCUAUGAAUGUAACAAUGCGAACGAGCACCGUUCCGUCUCAAACAAAUGCGUGCUACUGCACUGUACGGCUCUGCUAAAUGUAAAGAGCAAAAGAGUAUGAUUAUACACCCAACGACAUCAAAAUGCAUAAAACGAUGGAAAUACUUAUCACUGAGAUGAAGUGGCUGUUGUAGUGAUGACGAGAGAAUAUUGAAGAUUGCUUUGAUGAUAGCUAGGCCCUUUUAUGAUACUGCUGAAACGAAAUUCGAAAAUAGAAUCCGCGGGUGGACCUGCACACUUCUUAAAUUUAGAGACGGCGAAUACGAUCACUCUCAUAGUGCGACCGCUUCAAUGAAUGUUCAAAAUGAUAGGCUAACGUGAACUUAAAUGACGCUGCAGCAUUAUAUCCCAUCUAAAAUAAACGUUUUCACAUUGUAGUACAUCGGACUACCGCUAACAUUGUCUGUGUGAAUAUUUAGAUAAUCACAAUUAUAGGCCUGUACAUGCGUCGUGAGGAACGUCAACUGUGAACUGAACGCCGGCGAUGGUAUCUGCGAACACGAUAGUGGGUGGGAACAGAACUUAUAUACUCAGGUGACGUGUAAUGAUUGGUUAGAUAAUGAGCAAUGACGUGCAUUAGAGUCUUCCGGGUAGAACUUCCGCUAAACGCUCCCAUUUCUCUCAAAAAUACUAACAAGUACAUGUUGCUCACAUAUUAUUGUAGCCUAGUUU
Molecule: long non-coding RNA, 4618 nt
Organism: Megalobrama amblycephala (Wuchang bream)
Lineage: Eukaryota; Metazoa; Chordata; Actinopteri; Cypriniformes; Xenocyprididae
Exons: 4
Source: RefSeq, a predicted model, not a curated record